This 23-nucleotide non-coding RNA is filed under the name Cricetulus griseus (Chinese hamster). The record is from RNAcentral. Lineage: Eukaryota; Metazoa; Chordata; Mammalia; Rodentia; Cricetidae.
ACAGACCUGAGGAGCAGGAGAGA